Molecule: ribosomal RNA, 253 nt
Filed under: uncultured bacterium
Lineage: Bacteria
Description: partial 16S ribosomal RNA
Rfam family: Bacterial small subunit ribosomal RNA
Source: RNAcentral
UACGUAGGGUGCGAGCGUUGUCCGGAUUUAUUGGGCGUAAAGGGCGCGUAGGCGGCCACGCACGUCCGUUGUGAAAUCGCCCGGCUCAACUGGGCGGGGUCAGCGGAUACGGUGUGGCUCGAGCAAGCUAGGGGGCAAUGGAAUUCCCGGUGUAGUGGUGGAAUGCGUAGAUAUCGGGAGGAACACCAGUGGCGAAGGCGGUUGCCUGGAGCUUUGCUGACGCUGAGGCGCGAAAGCGUGGGGAGAGAUCCGG